RNAcentral lists this ribosomal RNA (386 nucleotides) under uncultured bacterium. Its description in RNAcentral is "bacterial SSU rRNA". It matches the Rfam family "Bacterial small subunit ribosomal RNA", at positions 30 to 414 of the family's 1533-position model. The record is from RNAcentral.
AUUGAACGCUGGCGGCAUGCUUUACACAUGCAAGUCGAACGGCAGCACGGGUGCUUGCACCUGGUGGCGAGUGGCGGACGGGUGAGUAAUACAUCGGAACGUAUCCAGAAGAGGGGGAUAACGCAUCGAAAGAUGUGCUAAUACCGCAUAUUCUCUGAGGAGGAAAGCAGGGGAUCGAAAGACCUUGCGCUUUGGGAGCGGCCGAUGUCUGAUUAGCUAGUUGUGGGGUAAAGGCCUACCAAGGCGACGAUCAGUAGUUGGUCUGAGAGGACGACCAGCCACACUGGGACUGAGACACGGCCCAGACUCCUACGGGAGGCAGCAGUGGGGAAUUUUGGGACAAUGGGCGCAAGCCUGAUCCAACAAUGCCGCGUGAGUGAAGAAGG